Molecule: long non-coding RNA, 909 nt
Organism: Suricata suricatta (meerkat)
Lineage: Eukaryota; Metazoa; Chordata; Mammalia; Carnivora; Herpestidae
Exons: 3
Source: RefSeq, a predicted model, not a curated record
GACUCGGUCUCCCUAGCAGUCUCUGGUGUUUGUUUUGGGGUGAUUUUACACACUUGGGUACAACAUUUGGUGCGUUGGCCGGGAAAUCCCCCUCCCUGCCCCAGAGCUCCUGGGACACCAACACGUUGGGCCUGACCACUGGCUGUAUCUUCUCAGGUUCUGGUGACUCGAACCCCAGAAGAAGAAAAGCCGAGACGAACCAUGACCUCACCCUCAGCACCCCCCUACCCGGUUUUGCAGGAAGGAGUGGAUGAGGAUCUCCUCUUUCCCCCUCUACCUUACCGAUCCCCUCCAACUCCCUCUGACCCUGCUCCUAAUGUCCCAUUGCCACCACAGCCAUCUUCCUCUGCUCCAUCCCCUUCCGUUGAAGGAGGCCCAGCGUAUGGGACCCGUGGCUGAAAGGGCACCACCCCAGACUCCACAAUGUUCCCCUUGCGAGCCAUGGGACCUAUAGACGAGGCAGGAAACCAGCCUCAUCAUUAUUGGCCCUUUACCUCUUCUGACCUUUAUAAUUGGAGAUCUCAAAACCCCUCCUACUCAGAAAACCCCAAGGGCCUCAUUGGGUUGUUAGAAACUGUACUCUUUACUCACCAACCCACUUGGGAUGAUUGUCAGCAAUUGUUGCAGGUUCUGUUUACAACUGAGGAGCGAGAACAGAUCCUGCUGGAAGCACGACAGGAGUACCCACCAUGAACCCCGCUGACAUCGAUGCCGGAUUUCCCCUUGUCUGCCCCAAUUGGGAUUAUAACACAGGAGAAGAUAAACAAGAAGUUCAGCCGCUAUUAAAGUUUCAGGCAUCACCCUGGAGUCAAGGCCAGCUCUGAAGAAUCCUCAGCUUGGUGAGGUGAUCCAGAUCCAGAUGAUCAGCUCGACUAAUCCUCAAAAAGACUCUGACUCCAGAGAUCUCCA